This 309-nucleotide RNase P RNA is filed under the name Halobacteriales archaeon QH_6_68_27. RNAcentral describes it as "RNase P RNA component". It matches the Rfam family "Archaeal RNase P". Rfam says of the family: Ribonuclease P (RNase P) is a ubiquitous endoribonuclease, found in archaea, bacteria and eukarya as well as chloroplasts and mitochondria. Its best characterised activity is the generation of mature 5'-ends of tRNAs by cleaving the 5'-leader elements of precursor-tRNAs. Lineage: Archaea; Methanobacteriati; Methanobacteriota; Halobacteria; Halobacteriales. The record is from RNAcentral.
GGCAGAGGGAGCCCGGCCACCGUGUCCCGGCCCGACGUUCCGACGCCGUCGGGACGCUCGCAAGGGACAUGAGGAAAGUCCCCCCAUCGUCCAGGCAGGUGACCGGGUGCAAACCCGGAGCGGGAGACCGCUGGCGCUGGAACAGAAACGAGACCCCUCUCCCCGACCGAUGAGGCGCGCGAACCCCGAGCGGAAUGGAUGGAACGGCGAAUCCUCACCGGUGCAAGCCCGCGCGACAGGUAGCCCGGACGCGGCGCGGGCGCUCAGCCGAAUGCCGGCAAAACAGAAGGGGGCUUACUCCCCUCAGCC